This 525-nucleotide ribosomal RNA is filed under the name uncultured Bacteroidota bacterium. RNAcentral describes it as "bacterial SSU rRNA". It matches the Rfam family "Bacterial small subunit ribosomal RNA", at positions 8 to 522 of the family's 1533-position model. Lineage: Bacteria; Pseudomonadati; Bacteroidota. The record is from RNAcentral.
AGAGUUUGAUCAUGGCUCAGGAUGAACGCUAGCGGCAGGCCUAAUACAUGCAAGUCGGACGGGAUUCAGGGAGUAGCUUGCUACGAACUGAUGAGAGUGGCGCACGGGUGCGUAACGCGUGAGCAACCUACCCAUAUCAGGGGGAUAGCCUCUCGAAAGAGAGAUUAACACCGCAUAACAUCAUUUACCGGCAUCGGUUUUUGAUCAAAUAUUUAUAGGAUAUGGAUGGGCUCGCGUGACAUUAGCUAGUUGGAGAGGUAACGGCUCACCAAGGCUACGAUGUCUAGGGGCUCUGAGAGGAGAAUCCCCCACACUGGUACUGAGACACGGACCAGACUCCUACGGGAGGCAGCAGUAAGGAAUAUUGGUCAAUGGAGGCAACUCUGAACCAGCCAUGCCGCGUGCAGGAUGACUGCCCUAUGGGUUGUAAACUGCUUUUGUCAGGGAAUAAACCUUUCUACGUGUAGGAAGCUGAAUGUACCUGAAGAAUAAGGAUCGGCUAACUCCGUGCCAGCAGCCGCGGUA